GAUGAACGCUGGCGGCGUGCUUAACACAUGCAAGUCGAACGGGAAACCUUUUAUUGAAGCUUCGGCAGAUUUAGCUGGUUUCUAGUGGCGGACGGGUGAGUAACGCGUGGGUAACCUGCCUUAUACAGGGGGAUAACAACCAGAAAUGGUUGCUAAUACCGCAUAAGCGCACAGGACCGCAUGGUCCGGUGUGAAAAACUCCGGUGGUAUAAGAUGGACCCGCGUUGGAUUAGCUAGUUGGCAGGGUAACGGCCUACCAAGGCGACGAUCCAUAGCCGGCCUGAGAGGGUGAACGGCCACAGUGGGACUGAGACACGGCCCAGACUCCUACGGGAGACAGCAGUGGGGAAUAUUGCACAAUGGGGGAAACCCUGAUGCAGCGACGCCGCGUGAAGGAAGAAGUAUCUCGGUAUGUAAACUUCUAUCAGCAGGGAAGAUAGUGACGGUACCUGACUAAGAAGCCCCGGCUAACUACGUG
RNAcentral lists this ribosomal RNA (478 nucleotides) under uncultured bacterium. RNAcentral describes it as "partial 16S ribosomal RNA". It matches the Rfam family "Bacterial small subunit ribosomal RNA", at positions 28 to 507 of the family's 1533-position model. The record is from RNAcentral.